Molecule: non-coding RNA, 90 nt
Filed under: Roseateles depolymerans
Lineage: Bacteria; Pseudomonadati; Pseudomonadota; Betaproteobacteria; Burkholderiales; Sphaerotilaceae
Description: c-di-GMP sequence
Rfam family: c-di-GMP-I riboswitch aptamer
About the family: GEMM was predicted in a large-scale screen for bacterial structured RNA regulatory elements. Genes associated with GEMM are involved in a diverse array of functions, including chemotaxis regulation, signal transduction, secretion and chitin.
Source: RNAcentral
CCGCAAAAAGGGCAAACCAGUCGAAAGGCUGGGGCGCAAAGCUUCCGGCCUACCGCAUGUAACCCAUGCCACGGCAGCGGGGCCGCCGCA